This 444-nucleotide ribosomal RNA is filed under the name Phyllobacterium sp. CL7.37. RNAcentral describes it as "bacterial SSU rRNA". It matches the Rfam family "Bacterial small subunit ribosomal RNA", at positions 1 to 499 of the family's 1533-position model. Lineage: Bacteria; Pseudomonadati; Pseudomonadota; Alphaproteobacteria; Hyphomicrobiales; Phyllobacteriaceae. RNAcentral also lists the same sequence under 1 other name. The record is from RNAcentral.
UGAGCUUGAUCCCUGGCUCAGAACGAACGCUGGCGGCAGGCUUAACACAUGCAAGUCGAACGCCCCGCAAGGGGAGUGGCAGACGGGUGAGUAACGCGUGGGAAUCUACCCAAUUCUUCGGAACAACUGAGGGAAACUUCAGCUAAUACCGGAUGUGCCCUUCGGGGGAAAGAUUUAUCGGAAUUGGAUGAGCCCGCGUUGGAUUAGCUAGUUGGUGGGGUAAAGGCCUACCAAGGCGACGAUCCAUAGCUGGUCUGAGAGGAUGAUCAGCCACACUGGGACUGAGACACGGCCCAGACUCCUACGGGAGGCAGCAGUGGGGAAUAUUGGACAAUGGGCGCAAGCCUGAUCCAGCCAUGCCGCGUGUGUGAUGAAGGUCUUAGGAUUGUAAAGCACUUUCACCGGAGAAGAUAAUGACGGUAUCCGGAGAAGAAGCCCCGGCUA